Molecule: unclassified non-coding RNA, 27 nt
Filed under: Mus musculus (house mouse)
Lineage: Eukaryota; Metazoa; Chordata; Mammalia; Rodentia; Muridae
Description: piRNA piR-mmu-68468779
Source: RNAcentral
UGUUGCCACAGAAAUCUUCCUGCUUCU